UAUAGAUAAAGGAAUAUACUGCACUCCAGCUUUUCUUCUAGAUUCUACUUCUCCAAGGGCUGAAUUUAGACUCAGGAGAAAUACUUAUUCCUAAAGUUGUUUUUUAGCAUUCUUCCGUUCCCCUCCCUGCAACUUAGAUUCCAGACAAGGCAUACCACGAAGAUACUUACUUUUAACAUUAAAGUAAACAAACAUUAAUUCUGUUUUGAAACUACAGUGACCUACCUUAAGACAACGAGAGUUGGCCAAGAUUACCACAAUUCCUGGAUUUCCAGGAAGCCUUUUGCAGCUGACUAAAUCCGGGUCCCACCCAGGGUGUCCACAAGCCUCUGUUCUGGCUCACAUUCAAGGCCACAGCAUGCCAGUAAAACGGAUAAAAAUACACCCACCCAGAACAGAUCAUUGCAAAACUGCAGGCUACUGGGGAUAAACAGAACGUGCUACAAGCUCCCAAAGACAAUGUGAAGGAGGAGGAAGGAAGGAGCAGGGAAGGAAAGGGUUGGAGUGUGUGGCCACAAACCAGGGAAUACGGCAGCCACCAGAAACUGGAAAAAGCAUGGAAUGGAUUCUCUCUUGGAACCUCUGCUGACGCUUGAUUUCAGCCCAGUGAUACUGACUUCAGAUCUUGGGCCUCCAGAACUGGGGGAAAAUAAACCUCCAUUGUGUUAAGCCCUCAGUUUGUGAUCAUUUGUUACAGCGGCCCCAGGAAUCAAGUACAGCAGGUUGCCCCAGAGACAGAGCACACCCAGGCCGUUCUGGAGCAAGUCCAAGACUCCAGGCAGGAUUUCUCUACAAGACAAAAUUGGUGGGAUACUUGAUCACCUAUUUGUCUUAAGUGGAGAAUUAGACCGCUGGAGACGCUAUGGGCAUUCAAUUGGUUAGCAGAAAAGAGUCUGUAAGAAUUCACCAGUCUCCUGGCCUGAAGACAAAACGGAAUCAUGAGCACAGCAGGAAAAGUA
This is a non-coding RNA of Leptonychotes weddellii (Weddell seal), 959 nucleotides long. Lineage: Eukaryota; Metazoa; Chordata; Mammalia; Carnivora; Phocidae. The record is from RefSeq and is a predicted model, not a curated record.